This is a long non-coding RNA of Rattus norvegicus (Norway rat), 3351 nucleotides long. RefSeq lists it as uncharacterized. NCBI's taxonomy places the organism in Eukaryota, Metazoa, Chordata, Mammalia, Rodentia, Muridae. The record is from RefSeq and is a predicted model, not a curated record.
UAUGUGCGUGUGCAUGUGUGUGUGUGUGCAUGUGUGUGCACAUGGGUGGAUGUUCAGAUCGAUAUAUGCAUCACAGUAGGUAUGUAUGUGCAUGUGUUAAGGGUGGAUGCACAUAUCACUGUGUGUGUGUGUGCAUGUGUGUGUGUAUGUGUGUUUGGGUACAUGCAAACAUCACAGUACGUGUGCUUGUGUACCUGUGAACUUCUCAUUUAACCUGAAGGCUUCCAUGGCCCUCUGACACAGCAACCUGGUGCCCAAUGACAAUUAGCUAGAACUGUAAUGGAUCAAAAGCCUGCCUUACUGUCCCUACCUCAGGCAUUUCUUUGUCCUUUUCCAUGGGGAAUUUCAAUCUCCAAUGCCUUCCAAAGAGAGAAUCUGUAGUCCCCCUCAGUCAUCAAACCAGGCAAGAAAGCUCCUUAGGAAUGACAGGGUCAGUGCCACCCUCUGACUCCCACACAGCACAGCUCACAACCCGGAACCAGUGUCCCUUCAAAGUAAGAGCGAUGGUGCCCAGGAGGGCAAGAGAGAACCCUGUGUAGCCCCUGGCUAAGCUGCCUCUACCACAUCUGGCCUUGGCAGGAGGGGGGGUCCUCCUGGGGCAGAGAUGGAGGCCAGGAAUCCAUACUCGGGGCUGUUGGCCUGGAAGCAGAGCUGACUUCCGUCUUCCACGGAGCCCUUCAGCCAGAGUUUAGCACUGUGCUCCCAAGAGUAGCCUAUCCCUAGAGAAGCCUGAAACAAGAGCCGUGCUCUAAACCCAGAGCCCAGCCCCUGAGGGUGUGGGCUUCAAGCCACCCUAAGUGCCAACCACCUGUUCUAGCCCUCUUGGAGUAAUCUGUUUGCAGAAAUCACGAUCAAGGCUGAGGCAGAGGGGUGUCUGGGAGCCCAAAACCCCAAGGGUUUAGGAUGGUUAGGGUUAAUUGGUAACUUGACUGAAUCCCCUGGGAGAUGGGCCUCUGGACACGCCUGUGGGGGAUGCCUUAGUUGAUGUAGGAAGGCCCGUCCAUUGUGGGCGGUGCCAUUUUCUUGCUGGAUUCAUUAUGUAAAUGAAGGAGGGAGUUGGUUGGCAGUAAGUGUUGCUCUGUUACCUGACUGUGGUUAGGAAAGGAAGAAGUGCCCACCGCCUUGGGCUCCCAGCUAUGGUGCGUUGGACCUGUAGUUGGAGUAAGCCCUUUCUCCUUUAAGUUGCUUUUGCCAGAGGAUUUUUAUCACAGCAACAUUUAUCUUUAAAAAAUGAAGGACUGCGGGGUUGGGGAUCUAGCUCAGUGGUAGAGCGCUUGCCUAGCAAGCACAAGGCCCUGGGUUCAGUCCCCAGCUCCGAAAAAAAGAAAAGAAAAAAAAAUUAAGGACUGAAGAAGAAAGGGUCAGAGCCCAGCUGCCCAACAUGACCUAGCGCCUUGCCUGUGCAAAGCCAUAGUGGCUGCCUUGCUAAUGUUGCACACCAUGGUAGAGCACAGGCAGGCAGAAGUGAGGUAUGUCCAUCUGCCGGGAAUCUGUGGACCAACCGAUGCACCUUCUCCACAGUUCACGAGGAAGAAGUGUCUACCUGUGGGCCAACAUAGAAUGGUUCUCCUGGAACCCUCAGGAGCCUGAGGCGGGAGAUAGCAAGUUCUAGGCCAGCCUGGAUCACAGAGUGAGACACUGGAGAGAGAGAGAGAGAGAGAGAGAGAGAGAGAGAGAGAGAGAGAAAGAGAGAGAGAGAAACAGAGACAGACAGAGAGAGACACAGAGAGACAGAAGACAGAAAGAGACAGAGAAGAGAGGAGAGACAGAGACAUGACAGAGAGAGACAGAGACACAGAGAGACAGAGACACAGAGAGACAGAAAACAGAAAGAGUCAGAGGAGAGACAGAGACAUGACAGAGAGAGACAGAGACACAGAGAGAGACAGAGACACAGAGAGACAGAAGACAGAAAGAGACAGAGAAGAGAGGAGAGACAGAGACACAGAGAGACAGAGACAUGACAGAGAGACAGAGACAUGACACAGACAGACACAGAGAGAGACAGAGAGCACUGUGGCCGUAUCACUGCACCUUUCCCAACCUGAUCCUCUUUGCAGUUGGUCGGGGAGGGUAGUGGGUAGCGUGGGUAGGACAGAACCAGCCCUUCAUCUGCAGAAAAAUAUCAGGAUUGCUUUCAGCUUUGGGGUGGUCGUGGACAAAGCCACUCUGAGCAGGCUCUGUAUGAACACAGGUCUUCACAGUUCCCUGGGAUAAAUGCCCAGAAAUGAACUCAGUUGUCCAUAGGAAGGGGUACAUUUGGUUUCCUAGGAAAACCCCAAACCCAUGCAGGGUGACUGCCCCAUUCCACAGCAGCUAGAAUGGCCUGGCUUCUGGUGUCGUUCCCCACACUGAGGGCCCACGCACAGUGUGAGACCCCCCUGCAGUAUAAGUGGCUAAUGCUGUUCCUCACUUGUCUCUCGAGAUCCGUCUGGCAAAAAGCCCGCUUGUGUCUUUUGCCUAAGUUCCCAUUGCAUUGUUUGGUUUUGACCACUGAGUUGUGAGAGCUCUCUGUGGACCGUAAGCGCCAGUCCUUUGCCGGAUGCGUGGUUUGCAAACAUGUUCUCCCAGUCUGGAGCACGUCCUUUUAGCCCUUGGGCAAGAUGUGUCCACCGACUAGUGCGCCUGCCUUUUACUUUUGCGGCUCAUGCUUCUGGUGUUACUCCUGAAACCUUUUCCCCUGACGUCGGGGCCUAAGGAGUUUCUAUUUCCCUACGUGUUUUGUAGUUUGGGGGUUACGGUUAACCUGUGACCCAGGGUCAGUUUGUUUCAGUAGCAGCUUUGAGGCUCAAGCCAAGGGUCAUUUUUCAGCCUCAACUUUGCCCCGGCAACACGUAACUCUCCUCCACUGCGUAAUGUUUUUGUCCUUUUGUCAGCAAAUCAGCUGGGCACAGGCCGGGCCUCUGCCUCUCUAAUAAGGCCACACAGCCGUGAUGACUAUGCCUUUCCCAUAAGCUGUGACGUGGAAAGCCUCUUACUCGAGCCCCGUGAAUGGAAACUUACACCUGCUCCCAUGUGGGGAAUUAGGAACGUUCUGGUAGCCGGUGCCUCUUGGACAGCUGCCAGUUAGCAGACACUCGGAUGCAGAGCCCUGGCGCGCAGGAGAUGCCAGUCGAAUGGUGAAAUGGGACCAGCCUGGGACCAAGGCACCCCGAAGUAGAAUCCCCAAGGAGUCACGAGACCCUGAUGCAGACAGUCCGUCUGACUGAGUGGGAUCCAGUUGAUGGUAUCUGAUCCCUGCCUCUCGAGAGUCAAGAUGGUGAGCGACCGGCUAUGGAGCCCCUUUCUUGUAAUAGUUAAACGCCAAUUCGCUGCUCUGCCCUAUAAAUAUCCACAGGUUCCUAUGUUGAA